AAGUCGUAACAAGGUAACCGUAGGUGAACCUGCGGUUGGAUCAUUAAAAAGAUUCGGGGCUAGAGAGCGCAAGGUCUCUUUCGAGACCAUUGUGACUGGUCAUAGUUCUCCGUUACUCCAUGGACAGUGUGGUGUGCUUUAAGCGCAUUGGCAGUGUCCAUGGAAUAACGGUGGUAGUCAGAUUAUCCAAUGUUUCGAGGCAGUUACGCUGCCUUAAAACAUUGUCAAGACCGCCUUUCUAUUACUUCGUCACUUGCUGCUCUCACACCGAGAAACCUUAUGUGAACCGAAAACCGUCCCUGGCGGGGGGGCAGCAUUUUGCUGCCUGUCAGUCUAUGCGUUUGCAUAUUCCGUGGACAUCCCGUCAACAGGUCCGACACCUUUUAAUUUUCUUUUAUAUUUUUCUGACAAACACAUGUAUAAAUAUACAAAACAACUUUUGGCAACGGAUCUCUUGGCUCUC
Molecule: unclassified non-coding RNA, 463 nt
Filed under: air metagenome
Description: partial contains small subunit ribosomal RNA, internal transcribed spacer 1, and 5.8S ribosomal RNA
Rfam family: Eukaryotic small subunit ribosomal RNA (bases 1-46)
Source: RNAcentral